GGGUAUAGACCCGAAACCCGGUGAUCUAGCCAUGGGCAGGUUGAAGGUUGGGUAACACUAACUGGAGGACCGAACCGACUAAUGUUGAAAAAUUAGCGGAUGACCUGUGGCUGGGGGUGAAAGGCCAAUCAAACCGGGAGAUAGCUGGUUCUCCCCGAAAGCUAUUUAGGUAGCGCCUCGUGAAUUCAUCUCCGGGGGUAGAGCACUGUUUCGGCUAGGGGGCCAUCCCGGCUUACCAACCCGAUGCAAACUGCGAAUACCGGAGAAUGUUAUCACGGGAGACACACGGCGGGUGCUAACGUCCGUCGUGAAGAGGGAAACAACCCAGACCGCCAGCUAAGGUCCCAAAGUCAUGGUUAAGUGGGAAACGAUGUGGGAAGGCCCAGACAGCCAGGAUGUUGGCUUAGAAGCAGCCAUCAUUUAAAGAAAGCGUAAUAGCUCACUGGUCGAGUCGGCCUGCGCGGAAGAUGUAACGGGGCUAAACCAUGCACCGAAGCUGCGGCAGCGAACGUAUCACUUAAAGCGAUUCAGCGGGUUACGAUUGACGGAGCGAAGCGACGUCAAAGCGUAUACAAAGUCGAGUCGGUUUAAGGAUACGUUCGUUGGGUAGGGGAGCGUUCUGUAAGCCUGUGAAGGUGGCCUGUGAGGGUUGCUGGAGGUAUCAGAAGUGCGAAUGCUGACAUAAGUAACGAUAAAGCGGGUGAAAAGCCCGCUCGCCGGAAGACCAAGGGUUCCUGUCCAACGUUAAUCGGGGCAGGGUGAGUCGACCCCUAAGGCGAGGCCGAAAGGCGUAGUCGAUGGGAAACGGGUUAAUAUUCCCGUACUUGGUGUUACUGCGAAGGGGGGACGGAGAAGGCUAUGUUGGCCGGGCGACGGUUGUCCCGGUUUAAGCGUGUAGGUGUGUGUUCCAGGUAAAUCCGGUUCACUUUAACACUGAGGCGUGAUGACGAGGCACUACGGUGCUGAAGCAACAAAUGCCCUGCUUCCAGGAAAAGCCUCUAAGCAUCAGGUAACACGAAAUCGUACCCCAAACCGACACAGGUGGUCAGGUAGAGAAUACCAAGGCGCUUGAGAGAACUCGGGUGAAGGAACUAGGCAAAAUGGUGCCGUAACUUCGGGAGAAGGCACGCUGACACGUAGGUGAAGUGAUUUACUCACGGAGCUGAAGUCAGUCGAAGAUACCAGCUGGCUGCAACUGUUUAUUAAAAACACAGCACUGUGCAAACACGAAAGUGGACGUAUACGGUGUGACGCCUGCCCGGUGCCGGAAGGUUAAUUGAUGGGGUCAGCGCAAGCGAAGCUCCUGAUCGAAGCCCCGGUAAACGGCGGCCGUAACUAUAACGGUCCUAAGGUAGCGAAAUUCCUUGUCGGGUAAGUUCCGACCUGCACGAAUGGCGUAAUGAUGGCCAGGCUGUCUCCACCCGAGACUCAGUGAAAUUGAACUCGCUGUGAAGAUGCAGUGUACCCGCGGCAAGACGGAAAGACCCCGUGAACCUUUACUAUAGCUUGACACUGAACAUUGAGCCUUGAUGUGUAG
RNAcentral lists this ribosomal RNA (1537 nucleotides) under Salmonella enterica subsp. enterica serovar Akanji. RNAcentral's name for it is "partial 23S ribosomal RNA". It matches the Rfam family "Bacterial large subunit ribosomal RNA", at positions 705 to 2141 of the family's 2925-position model. Lineage: Bacteria; Pseudomonadati; Pseudomonadota; Gammaproteobacteria; Enterobacterales; Enterobacteriaceae. The record is from RNAcentral.